This 229-nucleotide unclassified non-coding RNA is filed under the name plant metagenome. Its description in RNAcentral is "partial contains small subunit ribosomal RNA, internal transcribed spacer 1, and 5.8S ribosomal RNA". The record is from RNAcentral.
UCUCCGUAGGUGAACCUGCGGAGGGAUCAUUACAGAGUUCAUGCCCUACCGGGUAGAUCUCCCACCCUAUGUUAUUAUUACUUUGUUGCUUUGGUGGGCCGUUAGGCUCCGGCCCGACUACCGGCCCCGGCUGGUAAGCGCCCGCCAGAGGACCCAAAACCCUGAAUAUUAGUGUCGUCUGAGUACUAUAUAAUAGUUAAAACUUUCAACAACGGAUCUCUUGGUUCUG